Molecule: long non-coding RNA, 1081 nt
Filed under: Chlamydomonas reinhardtii
Lineage: Eukaryota; Viridiplantae; Chlorophyta; Chlorophyceae; Chlamydomonadales; Chlamydomonadaceae
Description: long non-coding RNA (CREI_LNC000026)
Source: RNAcentral
CCCUCUGUAACAUCCGCAUCCUUAUCUCGCAGUCGGUACCGUAACUCCGGCGUUCGACCAGCCGCGCACUCCUGCCCUGCCGUUACAAUUUGUUUGCCAUCUGCUGGGGUCUGGGAAUCAGCUGCACCCUACGAGACUUCACCAACCUGCCUUAACACUGUCCCAUCGCACAACCUUACCUCGCUCCCCUAUACACCGCUGUCGUACACGAGUGGGCGUCACGCCCUGGACUACUUCUAGUUCCUCCAGCCUAUUCGUGUCAUUCGCUACUGAGAUGGAUGCUCAGAUCUUGGAUUGUGCCACAGUUCCCGACCUGCUGCAGUUCUUGUGAGCGAGAGCCGUUCGUCGGUGUCUGUAGUGCGGAUGUGACCUGGCCGACGGUCGACGCGUACACCUUGGACAGCGGCUUAUUUUCGGUGACAGAAACUCCUGAUUUCCUGUAAUGGUCCAUUCAUGAGUCAGAAAGUGACGAUGGCGUGGGAUGAGGUGAGAAGACUGUGACACCGCGAUUUUUCAUCCGGGCGGCUUGGUAUGUAUCCUGGAUGCCGUCAUUAUGCACGCAAACAUGUUAUCAUAGUCUCUUGAGCACAUCCAGAAUUUAAGUACCCUUCUCGACGCGCAUGAGUCGGACCUGUAUCACUCGCUCGACUGAAACCAUCAAUACCUUCAUUUCGUGGCAGCUCUGACCCCAAACCGGUAGGCUACCACUUGCAGACUCAUUCAUUUAUACCCCUAGCAACAGUGGGCAGGCUCAGUUGAGAGCUUUCUCUUGGGCAGUGCGCUUCACGAGCUCGGGCGCCCCAGCCCUCGCUUGCGAUUGAUAUCUAUUAAGUCCAUUGGAACAACACUGGUUAUAGACAUCUACCAUUCUGCGGCAACGACGCUGCACCAGCGAGUGGCCUUCUUCUCAGCGGCGAGCAACAGCGCUUUAAAACCAGGGAACACGGCCAUUUGCAGCGCUGAUACACUCAUACAAGACCAACAUCACCUGUGCGGGAGGUCGCUCGAGCCGGGGCAGCGGUGCGCCGUUGGUCGACAUGACGCGUUCAGAGCAGCAGCUGUUGUCGGGCUAUGAGCAUCA